This 532-nucleotide long non-coding RNA is filed under the name Mytilus galloprovincialis (Mediterranean mussel). The record is from RNAcentral. Lineage: Eukaryota; Metazoa; Mollusca; Bivalvia; Mytilida; Mytilidae.
AAAAGAACAAAAGAGCAGUACCCAAACAAAACUACAUGGUUUAACUAUAUAUAGUGGAGGGAGGGUGGGUAUUUUCAAAAUACUUCUCUCUGUAAUUAUACACGUCUGUUCACUUGCAGCUCAAAGUUAAAAAGAACGCUAACGUCAAAUUGACGUCACCACUAUACAUCUUAUCGACUACAUAUGAAUUUAUAAAGGAAAGCACUGCAACGGACGAGAUUAAAACUUUCCACUAGAAUAACCGAAUUUAUGUAUAUUACAUAAAUUCUAUUAUUCGAGAUGGCUUGUAAAACUAAGAUUUAUUGGCAGUAUUGACCACAGCUUUUUAUUAUUAAACACAAAUUUAAAUAUGUACACAUAUAGAUUCAACGAUAUAUAUUGUUCAACUAGAUAGAUUCAUAGAUAACUAGAUUCAUAGAUGUAUAGAUCAUUUUUUGGUUACCUCUGGCAACCUACAGAUAACUAGAUAGAUAUAUAUAGAUAGAUAGAUGUAUGAUCCUGGGAUACAGCGAUCAACUAACUUAGCUGUUGG